AUGAUUAACAUACAUUUCCUCAUCUAGAAGAACAUAUAGCUUGGAAACAACUGAAAAAUUAAAGUAAUUCUUAAGAGUUCCUAGAAGACUCAUUAAGAAAUGGCAGACUUUGACUUCAGCGAAUUACUUUUACAAUAAAAUCAGGGCAAUAUACUGCUCCUUGCUUUGUUGCUGUUGGCACACCUGGGAAAAUAUCCUGUCCCCUCUGGCUUAGAAAAAAUGAUGUGUGCAAGGCAUCACGAUGCCACAUCUCCUGUAUGACUGCAAAAAGUUGGAAGAAGCAGAGACAUAACUGCUAUAUGUCAGUUCAGCUCCCUGGACUCUGUUAUAAAGGAGAUGCUGUGAUUCUGUGACUCUGCAAACAUCCUCCUCAGGGAUAGCUGCUUAUACAUGUGCACAGAAGUCUGAUGCAAUUUAAUCCAACCGGUGCAAAAGUUCCAGACUGAACAGUCUACGCACAUGGAUCAGCUUUCUGGAUCAAGGCCUAAGGCUGAAACUGUAGCCAAAUAUUUCCUGCUUUACGUGCGACCCCACACUGCAUGGCUAUGUCCUGGAACAGAACAGUGCAUUAACUUUGCAAUGUUGCAAAUCAUGUUUCUCUUUAAAAGCUAAUUUUCUCCUAUGAAAUAUCCAUUGAAAAUGGACCUAGCUUUUGACUGAUUGCCUCUGAUAGAAAAUGCCUGGUGAUAAUCCUGUUUGGCUUUAUAUUCUUUAUUUUACUUUGGGGAAAAAUGUAGGAGACAUCUACAGUUUCCAUUACUACUGUUUCUUAUCUUGUAUUUCUGUGUUGAUCCACUUUGAAUCAUCACUGCAACCCAGAAACAGACUAUUCUGCUUUAUUAUUUACAGCGAAUGCACUGCUACUUAUACUGGGAUGCAGACAAUUUUUCUGAAUUUGUAUAAAAUGGCUCAGGAAACUUGGGGUUCCAAGGCUACUGUUGUAGGAAUCCUUACUGCAUUCCAGAACUGACUAUGUUUGUUUGAGAACUCAUCAUUUUGUACAGCAGUUUAAAACUACCUUCAAAUCUUGGAGAUUCCUUAGCUUAAUCCAUAUGUUUUAUUUUGUUUUGAAAAAAUUGUUGCAUCUUGCAAAACCCCUCUUGUGCUUGAUCUACUGUAACAAUUAAAAAAUUUUGUCUAUUAAGUUACAUGGGUUAUUACAGUCCUGAAUUUCCUUUUCCCCUCUGAGGCUGAGGAAGGGGGAGCAUGUGACUUCUAGAUAGGGAAGAAAAAGGAUGUAGAGCAAUGUGACAGAGGUUCAGGCUCUGCAGCACCUAUCUCCUUUUGUGUAUGUAUGUAUUGUGUAUACAGGCCUUCUGAGAGAGUCAUUGGGAGUUAGGAUGUUGGAGCUAGUAGCCACCUAAAGGCUCUUUCUAAUCCAGUACUACCAAAUUAAUGCAGUGACCUAAUUAAGUCAUUUUAAAUAUGAAAAGAAAGGCUAAUCAGAGAAAUCAAAAAAGAUGGAAAUGAAAGACAAGCAAGUCAUAACCAUUUGCAGUUUUGGAGCCUUUCUUCCUAAAUACCCGUAUAUGAACUUUUUCAUCUAAGUAUGGUUACUUUAUGAUAUUGACACUUGUAAUGGAAGGAAAUCAGUAGUCAGCCGACUCAUCAAAAGAUCCUGAUGAGGUAAAGUUCAAGAAACUUUUUCCCAAUAUUGUGCACUGGAAAUUAUAUAUAUUAAAUCUCCAUAAUUAUCUAAAAUUUCAGAAACAAUUGGUGUGUUUGUUGAUUACAAAGAAUCAACUUUCCUUUCACUCUGUGUUUAGAAAUCUGUGCUAAUUUUAAUGCCAGUCAUUACUGUUCUACUACUAUUUUUUUUGUUACAGUAUCCAGCAUGUUUGAACAUCACCAGACUAGACAUUUAAUCAAAGAGCCUCUCUCUCCAUAAUGAUCUAGGAACUGUUGAAAUGCUGUCUAGAAAGACAUUUAUUUAUAAAUUUAUUUAUAAACUAAAAUAAAAUUUCUGAUUUAACAUUUGUUUUUAUCCAAAUGAAAAUGACUUGAGGGAAAACAAUGAAUUUUAUGAAUGUUUGAACACAAAAGUACAAGUUAUUUUAGCAGGAUAAUUAUCAUCUUUAAUUUUGAAAAGUUAUCCAUGAAGAGCAAUAAGUCUGUAAAUAGUUCAGAUUUUAUAGUAACACAAAAUAGGGUUAUUUUGCAUAGCAAAGACUAAAUAUAUAUAUUUUUUUCAGGAUUAAUCAAAUUGAGAUUCAUGCCCCCUCAAUUACAGUUGUAAUUGUAGUAGCUAUAUGAUUUGACCUAUCAUAGAAUUCAAAUGAUUUAACUGAAGAAAAAUUUAAAAAGUGAAUGUUGUCUUUUUAAAAAUAUUCUCUUAUAUAAUCAUUUCAUGAAAGUUGGUUAUUAAGGUAGCUCACAAUACUUUCAACUGUUUUGCUAGAAUUGAACUUGGUGGCUGCUUGAGCACUUCAAGUAUAAAUUCAGGGUUUUAUGAUUAUCAGCCCAAGCUUGUAAGAGCAGGCUUGUUCCACUAAUAAAAAGCUAAAGUGCCUGAUCUUCUUCCACCUCAAACAAGGUGAAAAGCAGAUACCUAGAGCUUGUUUGAAAGGGAGGCAAUGGCUGUGAGGACUUUCCUCUUGAAGGUCCAAGUCUAGCCUGCAAACAGACCUAAUGCAAGUCCAGUUGCAGACACAGCAAACUGCAAACUCGUUGCGAGUGAAAUGCUGCAGGGCUAACGCAGUUAUACUCACAGACAAAGCAUUAUGCUUGCCCUAUGGUAGCAGCUACUAAUGUUUGCUCUGUUUAUAAAAUCUAAAAUUCUGUGGGUUUGGACCCUGCAAAAGUCAAACGUAAAAAUGUGCUUGAGUUUAGAUCAAAUCAGGCUCAUAAUCCUUUCAAGAAUGAAUAUCUUUAAAUAGAUUUCAGAUUCCUGUGGCUAGAUUCCCUAGACUAAAUGAGCUGCCCCUGGCAAAGGACUGGAAAAUAGGAAAGGAAGUGAAGGCUUUAAAGCAUUUGUGGUUCCCCUCUCUCAAAGCUGGCUGGCAGUCAAUCCUGUUCCAGUUCAGUGUGCUCAGGUGCCCCUGGCCUCCAGGAGCUAAUCUGGCAGCCAAGAACUAAUGCAGGGGAGAAGGCAAGAGCUGCAUGCUUUUUGAUGGGAGAGUGGGGCACUAGAGGCAGAUCUGGUCCAAGAUCCUGGCCCUCUGCCUGAAAAAUAUCUAGUUCUCUAAAGGAGCAGGAUAUUAAUCCACUGUCCGGGCACGGAAAGAUUCUUAAUACUGCCAUUAGGAAAAAGGUCUUACGGUAAGCUACACACAGUUUUGCAUCAGGUUUAUGAAGUAGUAGUCUGAAGGGACGGAAGAUCAACAGCAGGAUUUGGGAAGGAACAGAUCACGUGUGAGGGAGUGGGAGAGGUUGCUGGGUGCUGAUUGAGACUGAUGUUAUGGUACAAGGAGGUCAUGCUGUUGGCAAUAACUUCUUUAUUCUUACGUUGCAUAUAACUUAAUGUUCAGAGAGCUACAGCUCAUGUUUGAUGAAUGAUGACUAUAAUGUACUUCAUUUUGAAUGCCUCAGUUUCUAAGAGGACAGAUGUUUAAAUGUGCUGAACAUGAUGACUCCAUAAGUUAAUGAAAGCUUUCAUCUUGUGAACCGAUGAACAGCAAGGCCCCAGGGUCUGAAGUUUGAAAUGAAGUGAUAUCACAUCUUAAAAAUCUCAUCACUUUUCUGCCUCAGUAUCUCUAUUUAUAAAGUAAAGAUUUUUAUAUUAUUCGUAGACUUCUAGAUAGUGCAUAUAUACUUUCAAUUGUAUUUGAAGAUACAGAUAUGUACAGAAAAGGGAAAAAAGUGAUAAUUAUUUGUACUACAUGGAGUUGUUUUUAACCUUCUUCAUCUGCCAGGUUGACAAAAAUUUUGUAGUCUAUUGUAUGCAAAUUUUAAUCAAAAAACAUCAGUGCAGUGUUUAUUGUCCAAAUUGGGGUGGAGAAUAUUACAAUGAGUCCUAAAAUUCUGUUGUCUGAAGAGAGUAAAAAGAAUUAAGCAGCUCAGCCUAACAGACUGCAUGUUAAUUUAAGGAAACUGAAACAAACUCUGUAAAUGCUUUUUAAUAGAAAUUAGUCUAUAAAUUGACACAAUUUUCUCAAUAUUUUGGAAUGUAUAUCUUCAUCCAAGUAUAGAAGAAAACUAAGUGAGAAAUAGUGUUUGAAUUUAAGAGAAAAAAGAAUGAGGUUGUCAGAGCCACAACUGUUCAUCUGUCCUUAGCAGGCAGAAUAUAGACAGAGAAAAACAAUCUCAAAGCCAACAAAGUAGCUUCAGUCACAUCCAUAGUCUGCCUCUCCCCCGUCUUUUUUUCUUUAAACUUGAUUUAUUCUUGGGUUUAUCUUUCCAAGGGCUUAUAAAAGAUUUGAAUCUAAAACAUGGAACAGUCAAUAACUAAGUAAAUGUCGUCUUGUGGCAGAUAUAAUUUUUCUUGAAGGUUAAAGCCAAAACUGCAAAGAUUUGCCACUUGUAAGUUAAAUUCUUUGCUAUUUUUGCUAUACUACUUAUUUAUGAACUGGAUUUUCAACAGCAAUGACUGAGGGAUUUCUAGAAUGGAGGUAUGAGUACAAAAAACUAGGAAUAAAAUGCAACUUCUCUCUGAAGAAAUCUUUCAAAAUCUUUUUUGAAAUUCAGGGUAUCAAAUUCCUACUUUAGUUCUCCAGAGCAAAACCGUUAACAAAAUGUUGCAGAUAGGCCAGUUACAAAAUGUUUUCCUUCCACUACAAAUCCUGCAGUGGAGCAGCUGGCUGAAUUUACCUUUAUGAAAGAGGUGCACAAUAAGGAUGAUUUUCUGCACGAAGCAGUGCUUUGUGCAAUAUUCCUCUGUGAUGCAAAUUAUGUAUUUCUGUGGAUCUGGGACCUGUUGUGAGUGGGAGAUCAAAAAAAAUUUUCCUUACUGUCUUGUGAUUUUUGUCAAGCACUACCUCCUUCUGCCAAACAGAAAUGUUCCCAGCUUACACUUUUUCCCACAAAUAAAGCUU
Molecule: long non-coding RNA, 4970 nt
Organism: Dromaius novaehollandiae (emu)
Lineage: Eukaryota; Metazoa; Chordata; Aves; Casuariiformes; Dromaiidae
Exons: 5
Source: RefSeq, a predicted model, not a curated record